AGGUCACUGGGCCGCAACUGACGCUGAGGAGCGAAAGCAUGGGGAGCGAACAGGAUUAGAUACCCUGGUAGUCCAUGCCGUAAACGUUGGGCACUAGGUGUGGGGUCCAUUCCACGGAUUCCGUGCCGCAGCAAACGCAUUAAGUGCCCCGCCUGGGGAGUACGGCCGCAAGGCUAAAACUCAAAGAAAUUGACGGGGGCCCGCACAAGCGGCGGAGCAUGCGGAUUAAUUCGAUGCAACGCGAAGAACCUUACCAAGGCUUGACAUACACCGGAAACGUGCAGAGAUGUGCGCCCCGCAAGGUCGGUGUACAGGUGGUGCAUGGUUGUCGUCAGCUCGUGUCGUGAGAUGUUGGGUUAAGUCCCGCAACGAGCGCAACCCUCGUCCCAUGUUGCCAGCGGGUUAUGCCGGGGACUCAUGGGAGACUGCCGGGGUCAACUCGGAGGAAGGUGGGGAUGACGUCAAAUCAUCAUGCCCCUUAUGUCUUGGGCUUCACGCAUGCUACAAUGGCCGGUACAAAGGGGUGCGAUACCGCGAGGUGGAGCGAAUCCCAAAAAGCCGGUUUCAGUUCGGAUUGGGGUCUGCAACU
Molecule: ribosomal RNA, 589 nt
Filed under: Cellulomonas sp. CH285
Lineage: Bacteria; Bacillati; Actinomycetota; Actinomycetes; Micrococcales; Cellulomonadaceae
Description: bacterial SSU rRNA
Rfam family: Bacterial small subunit ribosomal RNA
Source: RNAcentral